CAAAGCUAGUUCCCUCGACUGAGACACCUUUUCUAAGGCAUUCAUGAAUUUCUCGGCGUCCCCUUCUUUCGUGGCUUUGUAUAGGUCACGAUCCAUAAUUUUGCUCAAAUCACCAUCUUCGAGCCAUCGUUGGUUAUGUGGAGGUAGGACAUUUCUUGCUUUUAAAUCUUCAAGCCUUUCCUCUGGCGUAGCCCUUGUUUCCCUCCCAUCAAUGCUUAUUAUGUGAUCCAUUUCGAACGGCGCGAGUCUUUGUUGGAGCAAACAAGCAAGCAGA
Molecule: long non-coding RNA, 274 nt
Organism: Rhodamnia argentea
Lineage: Eukaryota; Viridiplantae; Streptophyta; Magnoliopsida; Myrtales; Myrtaceae
Exons: 2
Source: RefSeq, a predicted model, not a curated record